Molecule: ribosomal RNA, 497 nt
Filed under: uncultured bacterium
Lineage: Bacteria
Description: partial 16S ribosomal RNA
Rfam family: Bacterial small subunit ribosomal RNA
Source: RNAcentral
GAUGAACGCUGGCGGCGUGCCUAAUACAUGCAAGUCGAGCGAACAGACGAGGAGCUUGCUCCUCUGACGUUAGCGGCGGACGGGUGAGUAACACGUGGAUAACCUACCUAUAAGACUGGGAUAACUUCGGGAAACCGGAGCUAAUACCGGAUAAUAUAUUGAACCGCAUGGUUCAAUAGUGAAAGACGGUUUUGCUGUCACUUAUAGAUGGAUCCGCGCCGCAUUAGCUAGUUGGUAAGGUAACGGCUUAUCAAGGGAACGAUGCGUAGCCGACCUGAGAGGGUGAUAGGCGACAUGGGAACGUGGCCACGGACAAGACGACUACGGUAGGCAGCAGUAGGGAACCGGACGCAAUGGGCGAAAGCAUGACGGAGCAACGCCGAGCGAGUGAUGAAGGUCUUCGGAGCGGAAUACUCUGUUAUGAGGGAAAAACAAAUGUGUAAGUAACUAUGCACGGCGUGACGGUACCUAAUCAGAAAGCCACGGCUAACUACGUG